This 882-nucleotide unclassified non-coding RNA is filed under the name Hevea brasiliensis (rubber tree). The record is from RNAcentral. Lineage: Eukaryota; Viridiplantae; Streptophyta; Magnoliopsida; Malpighiales; Euphorbiaceae.
GUGAACUCAACACUACGUUUAACUAAGAAGUUCGAUCCAUUACAAAAACAAAACUAUUCCUUUACUGAUGCCGCUACCAUCAGAGGCCUUGGUUCAUUUCAUUCCAUACGCAAAACAAUAUACUGCAAACAGCAUUCAACAUUUUGAGUUUAACAAUUCAGUUAUCCAUCUAUACAUUCCACCACUGCAAACUACAAAAGGUAACUUUCUUCACCAAACGAACAUAGCUUGUGAGUUUCUGCAAAUAUUUUGCAAAGAGAGUGAAGGACCGCGAAAUAUGGUCAUCAGCUUGAAGAACCAUCAUCCAAACAGUGAUCCCAGAUUAACUUCAAGUUGUCUUCCAGCAUUUUAAGCACCAGGUUUUCGUCAAUCGUUUCCUCCUGCAAUUGGGAUAAAAUCCCAGACAUUUUCAGGUUAACUUCCUGUGCAACCUCACCAGUUGAAGAUCUGAAAUCAUAUCGAUCUGCAUGUCUAAGCUUAAGCCUAAUUGACGAAUUCCCAUAUGAUUUUGCAGUUGUGUGCCAGACACCGGUAACAGCAUAUCGACUCACUGAAGAAUCCUCGCCAAAGGGCCAUCUCAGCCCACCCUUAACUUCAGAGUCCAACACAGCUGAACCGAUAAGACUUUUAAUUUCAUUGAUCUCCUCAUCAGAUAAACCCGUCAUGAUUUUCUUGGUGUUUAACAUCAACCUCAGGUCUAAGCUUUUGCCAGGACAGCUCAUGUCUGCAACCAUGUUGCGUACUUGGUUCAGCUCAAUCUUAUGGAGCUGAAUUUUCUCCUGAUCCUUGACCACCGUACAUUUGCAGGUGACAGUUGAAUCAGCGCGCAUGUUGUCUGAAAGCUUGACGUAGUAUAAUUCCUUCUCCUCCACAUAUUGUAAG